ACUAAACUUGUAACGAGGUAUAUAUAUUUGAACCUUUUUUCAAAGUUCUGGGCAUAUUUGGCCGUUUUUCCGUUUUCUUAAAAUUGAUGGCAAGUCAAAACUUAGUCAAAACUAAGACCCAACUUGAAAUGGAGGUUGAGAGUAGCGCCGUGAAGUGGUUGGGCGUGAUUCCAUGACCUUUCUCAGCGCGAACGCUCUUGGUUGGCUGAUUGAAUCGGCCGUAUCAACUCAAUCCCUUGUUAUUGGUCGAGCUGUUCAUGGUCACAUCAUCAGAACUAUUGAACCUCCUUUCCCACCUUUCCUCUCCAACCAUCUCAUCAACCUCUACUCCAAACUCGACGCUCUCAACUCAGCUCAACUCCUUCUUUCACUCACCCCUACUACUUCUCGUUCCGUCGUGACAUGGACGGCCCUCAUUGCUGGCUCCGUCCAAAAUGGCCAUUUUACCUCUGCCCUUUCGCAUUUCUCUCACAUGCGCCGCCAGUCUGUUCGACCCAAUGACUUCACCUUCCCUUGCCUUUUCAAAGCCUCAGCCUUCUUGCAUUCCCCCGUCAUGGGCCAGCAGCUUCACGCACUCGCAACUAAAACUAGCUUGAUUAAGGAUGUGUUUGUUGGGUGUAGCACAUUCGACAUGUACUGCAAAACGGGUCUACGGGAAUAUGCGCACAAGAUGUUUGACGAGAUGCCCCACAGGAAUAUCGCUACCUGGAACGCCUGUAUUUCUAAUUCCGUGCUUGACGGGAGGCCUUGCCAUGCCGCUUUAAAAUUUGUUGAGCUCUUACGGGUGGGUGAAGAACCACCUAAUUCCAUCACUUUUUGUGUGUUUUUGAAUGCUUGUUCGGAUGCUUUGUAUUUGAAACUUGGCCGCCAGUUGCAUGGUUAUGUGAUUCGACUUGGGUUUGGAUCAGAUGUCUCUGUUCUAAAUGGAUUGAUUGAUUUUUAUGGCAAAUGUCAUGAGGUGGGGUAUUCAGAAAUGGUUUUCAAUGAGAUAAAUGUGCGUAAUGGUGUAUCAUGGUGCACCAUGUUGGCAGUGUAUGAACAGAAUGAUAUGUGGGAGAAGGCUUUUAUGGUGUUUCUUAAGGCAAGGAAGGAAGAUAUUAAACCAACUGAAUUCAUGGUUUCAAGUGUGCUUAGUGCUUGUGCAGGAAUGGCGGUGCUUGAGCUGGGGAGGUCUAUUCAUGGUCUUGCAGUAAAGGCUUGUAUCGAGAGUAAUGUUUUUGUUGGCAGUGCACUUGUUGACAUGUAUGGAAAAUGUGGUAGCAUAGAAUAUUGUGAAACGGCUUUUUAUGAAAUGCCUGAAAGGAAUUUAAUAACGUGGAAUGCAGUAAUGGGUGGUUAUGCUCAUCAAGGGUGCGCGGAUAUGGCAUUGAAUUUGUUUGAGGAGAUGACAAGUGAAAGGCAUGAUGUGAUGCCUAAUUAUGUGACGUUUGUUUGUGUAUUGACAGCUUGUAGUAGGGCCGGGGCUAUUAUUAUAGGCAUGGAUAUCUUUGAAUCUAUGCGGAAGAAGUAUGGGAUUGAACCAGGGCCAGAGCAUUAUGCAUGUGUUGUGGACAUGCUUGGAAGGGCUGGUUUGGUGGAGCAUGCGUAUGACUUUAUCUACAAAAUGCCUGUUCCACCUACAGUUUCAGUUUGGGGAGCGCUUUUAGGGGCUUGUAGAGUUUAUGGAAAACCUGAACUAGGGAAGGUUGCAGCUAGCAAUUUGUUUCGACUUGAUCCAAAGGACUCUGGAAACCAUGUCAUUCUUUCUAAUAUGUUUGCAGCUGCUGGAAGGUGGGAUGAGGCUAAUCUCGUCAGAAAGGAAAUGAAGGAUGUUGGCAUCAAGAAAGGGGCCGGAUUCAGUUGGAUAUCUGCAAAGAAUUCUAUCCAUAUUUUCCAAGCAAAGGAUACAACUCAUGAGAGAUACCCAGAGAUUCAAGCAAUGCUGGCCAAGUUAAAGAGAGAUAUGAAAGCAGCAGGUUAUACUGCUGACACGAAUUUUGCGCUAUACGACUUAGAGGAGGAAGAAAAAGAAUCAGAAGUUUGGUACCACAGUGAGAAGAUUGCGCUUGCAUUUGGUCUCAUUACGAUCCCUUCUGGAGUCCCAAUAAGGAUAACCAAAAACCUGAGGGUUUGUGUGGAUUGCCAUAGUGCAAUAAAGUUCAUCUCGGGCAUUACUGGUAGAGAAAUUAUUGUAAGAGAUAACAACCGCUUUCAUUCUUUCAAGGACUACCAGUGUUCAUGUAGAGAUUAUUGGUGAAUCUAGUUUAAGUAUUCCAGAGAAUUCCAGAUGCUUCCAUGCCAUUCUGCCAUUGAACCAGGCUCUAGUUUACCCUCAUUAUGUACUGCAGUGAUAGGAGUGAUGUUGAGGUUGAAGAUCUGAACUAGAAGAUACCACCUCCAUAAGUUUUGUCAUUUCCAAGGCUGAGCUGGAAUUGAAUACAAGGUUCACCAUACCCUGGUAGAGGCACACUUAAGAGCUUUACAAAUCUGAAAAGCUUUUUUUAGCCUCCCUAGGAGCUCCCAACAUUUCUGCUCCCUUGGUGAUCCGAACCCACAACCUUAAGGUUGGAGGUGGAGGGUGCUUACCACCUGUACAACCCCCUCUUGUCUCAGAUCUGAAACUCAAACUACGUUUACACUGGCACCACAGAAGACGCAACUCUGCCCAACACGUUUCUGAGCACUGCAAGCAUGAAAAGAGAAUUCUUUUGGUUCUAUAGCAUGUCAUGUUAUUUUAUCUUCACAUUGAUGGCAAAACACUUGAAUGUGGGAAGAAACUCCUGGUGCAGCUAGAGUACCAUAUGCAAGUUUCAGGCGAUAUCAACAUAAAACAUUCAAGAACAGAAAGAAGAGAACACUGAACAGGAAAAUCUAGCAAUUCUAUUUUUUUAUGAUGGUGGUGUAUGCUGCUGAGAAUUGCACAGAUACCUACCAUUUCCCAUCACCACAAGUACCGGGUAGCUUUGCCCAUCAAGAUUUAGGUAGAUCAAAAGAAAUCUAGCAUUCUAUUUUCAACAGUACUACAAGUUUAUUGAACAACUUUUUUCUCAGGGCCUCAUUCUUUUGUUCCGAUCUCAUAAAUUAGUGAGGGAGCACUCUUUUGCUCUAAAUUUUAGGUUUUACACUGUUGCGACAUUGCAAAAUUUUCAGCAGCAAAUUGCUAGCUUUCAAGGUUGCGGAGCAGAAGGAUAUCCAGGUGUAACUAUAGCACACUGUUGAUUUUUUAAAAGGAAAAAUUACAUAGAAGUGUACCUAAUAAAGUUACAUUCCAAAAAUAUAUCUCACUUUUAAGUUCUUACCAAAAAUGGUUCAAUUGAAAUGUUACUUUUCAUUCCGUUACCUAUUACAACGGUAGCACGAAUAUUUUGAAGUCAUUGUUGAAGCUCAAAGCUUCAAAAUUGAAAAUUGAACUUGAGUAAAUAAGCUUUGUUUUGAGUGAAUAUGGUUGCAAAAGAUCAGUUCUUUAUUGAGGAGUUCAAAUCUGAAGUUUGGAUGCUUUGGUGUAGUUUUGAGGUGUUUUUGUAAAAAUUGAAAAUUAAAUUUUCAUAAAUAAGCUCUAUUUUGAGUGGUAUGAUUGCAAAAGAUUUGUUAUGUAUGAGGAGCCCAAAUCUGAAGUUUUAAAUGAUAUGGUGUCGUUUUGAAGUGUUUUUGAAUGAAUUUGGUGCUUCGAUUCGUGGAAGAUGACGAAAUUCUUUCUUUUAUACAUCUAUAAUCUAUAAUCUAUAUAUUAAAAGUGU
Molecule: RNA transcript, 3716 nt
Organism: Capsicum annuum
Lineage: Eukaryota; Viridiplantae; Streptophyta; Magnoliopsida; Solanales; Solanaceae
Gene name: pentatricopeptide repeat-containing protein At4g14850
Exons: 3
Source: RefSeq, a predicted model, not a curated record